RNAcentral lists this ribosomal RNA (532 nucleotides) under uncultured Dothideomycetes. RNAcentral describes it as "partial 18S ribosomal RNA". The stretch from base 36 to 397 matches the Rfam family "Group I catalytic intron". From Rfam's summary of the family: Group I catalytic introns are large self-splicing ribozymes. Lineage: Eukaryota; Fungi; Ascomycota; Dothideomycetes. The record is from RNAcentral.
UCUUGCAGGAAUGAUUCCUUCCGCAGUGUACACUUGUAGAAGCCUUUGCAGCCACGCAAGUGGUAGAUCUAGGCGACUUUAAAUAAAUUCUAGGAUCGCUAUGCAAGUCGCACCACGCAUGUGGUGCCGGCGACACUUUCGAAUUGACGGGGAUACCCUAAAGCCUGUCGCACCAACUCUGUGUGGGAAACCGCUAGAGGGCCCGUGCUAACUACACGGGGUGGUAACAGACGACAUGGAUACCUCCACGCCUUUGGUGUGGAUACCAUGGGCAAUCCGCAGCGAAGCCUCUAAGUCCGGCCGCCGGAUAUGAGGAACGUUCACAGACUAAGUGGAAGUGGGUGGAGCGUUCGCCGCUCUGCUUAAGAUAUAGUCGGGCCCCUUGGGAAACCAAGGGGGUGAGUACACUGCUCGAAAUUCAGACUUGAACGUGUCUCGGAUAGCGCUCAUGUUAGAAUUUCGAGACUGUCGACUGCCUCGUGGUUUGACAGCUCUUAAAACGUUCCGUAGGUGAACCUGCGGAAGGAUCAUU